RNAcentral lists this ribosomal RNA (468 nucleotides) under uncultured bacterium. RNAcentral's name for it is "partial 16S ribosomal RNA". It matches the Rfam family "Bacterial small subunit ribosomal RNA", at positions 28 to 507 of the family's 1533-position model. The record is from RNAcentral.
GACGAACGCUGGCGGCGUGCUUAACACAUGCAAGUCGAACGGAAAGGCCCUGCUUUUGUGGGGUGCUCGAGUGGCGAACGGGUGAGUAACACGUGAGUAACCAGCCCUUGACUUUGGGAUAACUUCAGGAAACUGGGGCUAAUACCGGAUAGGAGCUCCUGCUGCAUGGUGGGGGUUGGAAAGUUUCGGCGGUUGGGGAUGGACUCGCGGCUUAUCAGCUUGUUGGUGGGGUAGUGGCUUACCAAGGCUUUGACGGGUAGCCGGCCUGAGAGGGUGACCGGCCACAUUGGUACUGAGAUACGGCCCAGACUCCUACGGGAGGCAGCAGUGGGGAAUAUUGCACAAUGGGCGGAAGCCUGAUGCAGCAGCGCCGCGUUCGGGAUGACGGCCUUCGGGUUGUAAACCGCUUUCGCCUGUGACGAAGCGUGAGUGACGGUAAUGGGUAAAGAAGCACCGGCUAACUACGUG